This 300-nucleotide ribosomal RNA is filed under the name Triticum aestivum (bread wheat). Its description in RNAcentral is "partial small subunit ribosomal RNA". Lineage: Eukaryota; Viridiplantae; Streptophyta; Magnoliopsida; Poales; Poaceae. The record is from RNAcentral.
AUGAACAAAUUCGAUUUAAUAACACAAACACUUGUGAACCGGCUUUUGGAAGGGGUGGAGGCACCUACCUCGAAAGACAGGGACCUCCUUUUAAAAAUGUAUGGAAUUGCGCCCGGAAAUACACAUGCUUUGCUUUUUGAAAUCACAAAAAUGGUAGAAUCAUACAUGCGGCAGGCAAAUUUGGUUUUGCCACCUACAUACGAUGUUACCUGGUUUUGUAACCAGUUUCUGGGCGUGGAUUCUUUUAAGGAUCUAAAGGAUACUUUCGUAGAUUACAUUUCAAGGGGCGCGAAAGCUUAA